RNAcentral lists this ribosomal RNA (508 nucleotides) under uncultured bacterium. RNAcentral describes it as "partial 16S ribosomal RNA". It matches the Rfam family "Bacterial small subunit ribosomal RNA", at positions 28 to 507 of the family's 1533-position model. The record is from RNAcentral.
GACGAACGCUGGCGGCGUGCCUAAUACAUGCGAGUCGAACGCUUCUUUCCUCCCGAGUGCCUGCACUCAAUUGGAAAGAGGAGUGGCGGACGGGUGAGUAACACGUGGGUAACCUACCCAUCAGAGGGGGAUAACACUUGGAAACAGGUGCUAAUACCGCAUAACAGUUUAUGCCGCAUGGCAUAAGAGUGAAAGGCGCUUUCGGGUGUCGCUGAUGGAUGGACCCGCGGUGCAUUAGCUAGUUGGUGAGGUAACGGCUCACCAAGGCCACGAUGCAUAGCCGACCUGAGAGGGUGAUCGGCCACACUGGGACUGAGACACGGCCCAGACUCCUACGGGAGGCAGCAGUAGGGAAUCUUCGGCAAUGGACGAAAGUCUGACCGAGCAACGCCGCGUGAGUGAAGAAGGUUUUCGGAUCGUAAAACUCUGUUGUUAGAGAAGAACAAGGACGUUAGUAACUGAACGUCCCCUGACGGUAUCUAACCAGAAAGCCACGGCUAACUACGUG